UUUUUUUUUUUUUUGUCAAGUGAAUUGGACAACUCCCAAUUCUAGGUAUUACACUCAUGUAUUACACACUCACAUAACACACUUACACACACUACAUGAAUAUUACUAACAUGGAUUCUAUAUUCCUCACUGAAGAUUCAAAUCCGGGUGCAACUCCCAGCGAAGCAGGUGAUGCUGCCAUUGAUCCAAGGCCUCGGCUGCCAAUUGGUCCUAGUUUUAGUUAUAUUUUUCAUUUCGGGCCAGCAAUUUUAGUGGGCUUAUUAUGGUUACUUGAGUUAACAAGCCCCAUAUAGUGCAAUUUAAUUUGAUCAAACACAUGAAAGUGUUAAUGUGAUAUUAAUUUAGAUUACAAAAUAUUAGUUCUCAAUCCUCAUGGAAGUUUACCAUCUGAACCUAAACGAAUUGCAGAUACCUAAUGUAAAAAUUUUCUUUA
Arachis ipaensis is the source of this 433-nucleotide non-coding RNA. The record is from RefSeq and is a predicted model, not a curated record. NCBI's taxonomy places the organism in Eukaryota, Viridiplantae, Streptophyta, Magnoliopsida, Fabales, Fabaceae.